RNAcentral lists this ribosomal RNA (368 nucleotides) under uncultured Pseudomonas sp. RNAcentral's name for it is "bacterial SSU rRNA". It matches the Rfam family "Bacterial small subunit ribosomal RNA", at positions 1016 to 1382 of the family's 1533-position model. The record is from RNAcentral. Lineage: Bacteria; Pseudomonadati; Pseudomonadota; Gammaproteobacteria; Pseudomonadales; Pseudomonadaceae.
GCCUUCGGGAACGUCUGACACAGGUGCUGCAUGGCUGUCGUCCAGCUCGUGUCGUGAGAUGUUGGGUUAAGUCCGUAACGAGCGCAACCCUUGUCCUUAGUUACCAGCACGUUAUGGUGGGCACUCUAAGGAGACUGCCGGUGACAAACCGGAGGAAGGUGGGGAUGACGUCAAGUCAUCAUGGCCCUUACGGCCUGGGCUACACACGUGCUACAAUGGUCGGUACAAAGGGUUGCCAAGCCGCGAGGUGGAGCUAAUCCCAUAAAACCGAUCGUAGUCCGGAUCGCAGUCUGCAACUCGACUGCGUGAAGUCGGAAUCGCUAGUAAUCGUGAAUCAGAAUGUCACGGUGAAUACGUUCCCGGGCCUU